Molecule: ribosomal RNA, 280 nt
Filed under: uncultured prokaryote
Description: partial 16S ribosomal RNA
Rfam family: Bacterial small subunit ribosomal RNA
Source: RNAcentral
UACGUAGGGGCUAGCGUUAUCCGGAAUUACUGGGCGUAAAGGGUGCGUAGGUGGUUUCUUAAGUCAGAGGUGAAAGGCUACGGCUCAACCGUAGUAAGCCUUUGAAACUGGGAAACUUGAGUGCAGGAGAGGAGAGUGGAAUUCCUAGUGUAGCGGUGAAAUGCGUAGAGAUUAGGAAGAACACCAGUGGCGAAGGCGAUUCUCUGGACUGUAACUGACGCUGAGGCUCGAAAGCGUGGGGAGCAAACAGGAUUAGAUACCCCGGUAGUCCCUGAGCGGG